This 1544-nucleotide ribosomal RNA is filed under the name uncultured organism. RNAcentral's name for it is "16S ribosomal RNA". It matches the Rfam family "Bacterial small subunit ribosomal RNA". The record is from RNAcentral.
GAGUUUGAUCCUGGCUCAGGAUGAACGCUAGCGGCAGGCCUAACACAUGCAAGUCGAGGGGCAGCGGGGAUAAGCUUGCUUAUCCGCCGGCGACCGGCGCACGGGUGCGCAACGCGUAUAGAAUCUGCCCUGUACUGGGGAAUAGCCCAGAGAAAUUUGGAUUAAUGCCCCAUGGUAUGUAUUAGCGGCAUCGCUUAUACAUUAAAGGCUACGGUACAGGAUGACGAUGCGUCCCAUUAGUUAGUUGGUAAGGUAACGGCUUACCAAGGCAGCGAUGGGUAGGGGCCCUGAGAGGGGGAUCCCCCACACUGGUACUGAGACACGGACCAGACUCCUACGGGAGGCAGCAGUGAGGAAUAUUGGACAAUGGGCGGGAGCCUGAUCCAGCCAUGCCGCGUGCAGGAAGACGGUCCUAUGGAUUGUAAACUGCUUUUGUACGGGAAGAACAAGGGGCACGUGUGCCCCUCUGACGGUACCGUAAGAAUAAGGAUCGGCUAACUCCGUGCCAGCAGCCGCGGUAAUACGGAGGAUCCGAGCGUUAUCCGGAAUCAUUGGGUUUAAAGGGUCCGUAGGCGGGCCAUUAAGUCAGGGGUGAAAGUCUGCGGCUCAACCGUAGAAUUGCCCUUGAUACUGGUGGUCUUGAGUUAUGGUGAAGUAACUAGAAUAUGUAGUGUAGCGGUGAAAUGCAUAGAUAUUACAUAGAAUACCGAUUGCGAAGGCAGGUUACUAACCAUAUACUGGAAGGCAGGUUACUAACCAUAUACUGACGCUGAUGGACGAAAGCGUGGGGAGCGAACAGGAUUAGAUACCCUGGUAGUCCACGCCGUAAACGAUGGAUACUAGCUGUCCGGAUGCAAAUCUGGGCGGCCAAGCGAAAGUGAUAAGUAUCCCACCUGGGGAGUACGUCCGCAAGGAUGAAACUCAAAGGAAUUGACGGGGGCCCGCACAAGCGGUGGAGCAUGUGGUUUAAUUCGAUGAUACGCGAGGAACCUUACCAGGGCUUAAAUGUGGUCUGACAGCUUUAGAGAUAGAGCCUCCUUCGGGCAGAUCACAAGGUGCUGCAUGGUUGUCGUCAGCUCGUGCCGUGAGGUGUCAGGUUAAGUCCUAUAACGAGCGCAACCCCUGCCGUUAGUUGCCAGCAUGUAAAGAUGGGGACUCUAACGGGACUGCCGGUGCAAACCGCGAGGAAGGUGGGGAUGACGUCAAAUCAUCACGGCCCUUACGUCCUGGGCCACACACGUGCUACAAUGGCCGGUACAGAGAGCAGCCACUGGGCAACCAGGAGCGAAUCUAUAAAACCGGUCACAGUUCGGAUCGGGGUCUGCAACUCGACCCCGUGAAGCUGGAAUCGCUAGUAAUCGGAUAUCAGCCAUGAUCCGGUGAAUACGUUCCCGGGCCUUGUACACACCGCCCGUCAAGCCAUGGAAGCCGGGAGUGCCUGAAGUCCGUCACCGCAAGGAGCGGCCUAGGGCAAGAUCGGUAACUAGGGCUAAGUCGUAACAAGGUAGCCGUACCGGAAGGUGCGGCUGGAUCACCUCCUUUCU